RNAcentral lists this long non-coding RNA (228 nucleotides) under Lathyrus oleraceus (garden pea). RNAcentral describes it as "Pisum sativum (pea) long non-coding RNA (PSAT_LNC018154)". The record is from RNAcentral. Lineage: Eukaryota; Viridiplantae; Streptophyta; Magnoliopsida; Fabales; Fabaceae.
UAGAAUAGCAUGCAUGGCAAUUCAAAAAAUAUUACAAUAGCAAUUAAAAUAAACAUAAACUAAAAAAAAAUUAAAAAAAAAAACAAUAAUAAAAUUUUAAAAAAAUUUAUGAAACACCUACGUCAGCAGUCACGAGCGCCAGUGACCGUUGCAAGCUAACUGGUGUGACGAGCGUCACACAAGCCAUCACGGUCGUCACGCAAAUGCACAUGACGCCCGUAACACCUU